GACGUAGGAGGCGAGCGUUGUCCGGAUUCAUUGGGCGUAAAGAGCACGCAGGCGGUUUGGCAAGUCGGAUGUGAAAACCCGAAGCCUCAACUUCGGGCCUGCAUCCGAAACUGCCCGACUAGAGGUAGGUAGGGGAGAUCGGAAUUCCUGGUGUAGCGGGUGAAAUGCGCAGAUACUCGAGGAGGAACACCGGUGGCGAAGGCGGACG
RNAcentral lists this ribosomal RNA (208 nucleotides) under uncultured bacterium. RNAcentral describes it as "partial 16S ribosomal RNA". It matches the Rfam family "Bacterial small subunit ribosomal RNA", at positions 524 to 727 of the family's 1533-position model. The record is from RNAcentral.